AGUUCUCCAGGCGCAGUGCGCGCAGGCGUGGGCAGCAGCGCAGCAGGCGCGCCAGGCAGUCGUCGGUAACGUGGCCGCAGCCCGAGAGCGUGACGGACGCCAGGUUGGGGCACCUGUGAGGAGAGUGCGGUGACCCGGGGCUCACUGGCUUGUUAAAGCUACCCAACCGCCCCAUGGGACCGAGUGGACUCAUUUACCGAGGAGGACUCGGGCCCUGCGAGGUGAAGACACUUGGCUGCGAUGACACUGCAGGGUUCCAAGUCGGCUUUCUGGCCGGCCCAUUUUCCCUCCUCUUUCUGCCCCUGCACCCCACCGUACCUUCAUCUGCGUGGGUUCUUGGCUCGUAGCCUUGGGAGCCCCUAGUGGGAAGCCCCGACCCCGGCCCAGCAGAGUCCUGGGGCGGCUGUGGACAGAGGGAAUGCCGGUUCCAGGAGCCACAACCCUUGACUCUUUGUUUCGCUCUGGAUGUGCUGCCUUGCAGGGGAGCGGUGCUUGGCGAUUGCUCCAGUCUAGCUUCAAGCUGAGGCCCCUGAAUGUCCCGGCGGGACGUCACUUCAUCCUGGCCCAGGUACUGCAGCUCCAAAUCGUGGGGAUUCUGUAAGAGCUUGCUACCUGUUGACUGAGGAGGCCCACGAGUUGAGAAGAACUAGCAAGAGUGGUACAAAACUGCAGGUCAUUGGGCUGGCCACCAGGUAUUCCCACCCACCAGAAGCUGGCUGUUGUACUCACCCGGAACCAUGGUGCACCACCACAGCGGCGAGGUCAUACAGGCAGCUCUCCGGGCCACUGUUCUCAGGCUACAGAACAAGGAAGAAGGAGCAGUGGUCAAUGACAUCAGUAUCUCGAUGACCUCUACCCUCUCCAUGUGAUGACAAUCUUACUGAAGAGCCAUUUUUUCACCAUGCUAAAAAGGUAACCACCUUACCUCUAGUAAGUAGCAUUUCAUGUCUAGGCCUCUCAGUGGAAAUUCUACGUAUGUAUCAACUUUAUUUCUUAAAUAUGCUGUCCAAUGAAAUCUUUUCAAAUGUAAGCAUAGCACCUGGAGGACAGAGAUGCGGUCAAAGAUUGUGAACACCUAAUUUACCUUUCAGUCAAAGUUUGAUACUACUAUCAGUUCAGUAAAUAACAUUUUAGCUGCCCUAUCAAUCAUUCUUCCAUGCAUACCUUAUGCAUUCAUUCUGUAAGGGGUUUAGCUUUUACUGAAAAUCCUAGAGAAAAAUACAGAACAGUUCACAUAGUGUAAAGUUAUAGACAUGGUCUUAGCAGUCAAGCACUUUCCCAUUGAAAUUGCUUCAUAACUCAAAAUUCAACACUCACCUUGGGUAGUUUUUGAAUCCAAAACUUUUUUGUGGACUUUUGUUUCUUUUUGCAUUUAUGGCACAUAUAUAACUCUGUCUCAUCAAGUUCUUCUAAGUCGGUAAAACUGCGAAGACAAUCUAAACAAAUUGAUUUUGGCAGCAUUAAAACAAGAUGCCUUUUGUAGAGGCAAUGUACUGUAGAAAAAAGACCCAGGUUUAAAAUCUCAGCUUUAUUAGCUAUACGACCUUAGAAAAGUUAACCUUUCUCAAUUGCAAACUGGAGACAAAAAAUAAUACCUACUUUGAAGAACUAUUAUAAGGAAGAGAAAUAAUGUGUAGAGCACCUGGCAUCAUGCCUGACAUCUGGUGAUGAUCAAUUGUGUUGGUUUUACUAUUAAUGAUAAUUCAUCUGGAUAAUUCUGAUAAAAUGGUUUCCUGAUGAAUUUAAAGUUUCAAUUGUAGUUUUCUGUCAAUAUGUUACAUUAUACAGGACAAAGCUCCAAACUCAUAAAAAAAAGUCAAAUUUAGAUAAUUUAAAAAUAAACAUAGAUCACAGAAGGCUACACUAUCAACCUUCUCUGUCCAGACGCUGUACUCUCAGUUCCUAGAUAAAUCACAGCUACAUUUUUUUUCAUUUAAAGAUGUAAUUGUGUAACCUGGGGUUUAGUAAACUACAGUCCUAAAACAUCCAGCCAGCCACCUGGUUUUGUAAAUAAAGUUUCAUUGGAACAGAGCCAUGCCCACUUGUUUACAUUAUUGUCUGGCUGCUUUUACACUACACCAAACUGAGUCACUGGGGCAGAGACCUUAUGUGGUGCAAAGCCUAAAACACUGUAAAUCUUCACUUAAUAUCAUGACAGGUUCUUGAAAAUUGUGACCUUAUGUGAAGCAACGAUAAACCACUUUUUUCUCAUCAAUGUUAUAACUAAACGUUAAAGGAAACUAUUAUUGGAGGACCUGCUGUAUGUCAUUUUGCUUUAAACUUGCAGUUUCCAAGAACCUACUGAUGACAUUAAAUGAAGACUUACUGUAUUUACUCUUUGGCCCCUGUGCCAAUUCCUGAUGCAAUCAGAUAUUCAUAAAUCUAUAUAAAAUACACGUUAUUCUGUAGAAAAAAUAUGAAUGCCUAUGGACCCCACACUUGGAUUUUCUCGAGUACUCAAGGAGCCAGGGUCUCUGUGCACGGCCUCUCCUAGAGUUGUGCAGUGGACAACCUGUGUGGCCAUGUGCUUCUUACCAAAGAUAAUUCCCCUUCCUCUGCCCAGAAGUAGCCAUUAUCCUGACUUUUAUGUCAUUUGUCUUUAUAGAACA
Homo sapiens (human) is the source of this 2609-nucleotide long non-coding RNA. Ensembl annotates it as USP3 antisense RNA 1. Its record names the gene USP3-AS1. The record is from Ensembl. NCBI's taxonomy places the organism in Eukaryota, Metazoa, Chordata, Mammalia, Primates, Hominidae.